RNAcentral lists this ribosomal RNA (467 nucleotides) under uncultured bacterium. RNAcentral describes it as "SSU rRNA". It matches the Rfam family "Bacterial small subunit ribosomal RNA", at positions 26 to 518 of the family's 1533-position model. The record is from RNAcentral.
AGGACAAACGCUGGCGGCGUACCUAAGACAUGCAAGUCGAACGGGCGCUUCACCUUCGGGUGGGUGUGCUAGUGGCGGACGGGUGAGUAACGCGUAGGAACCUGUCAUCAAGAGGGGGAUAACGCUGGGAAACCGGCGCUAAUACCGCAUGUGGUCAUGAAAAUGAAGAAAGCAGCAAUGCGCUUGAUGAGGGGCCUGCGUCCGAUUAGCUUGUUGGUGGGGUAAAGGCCUACCAAGGCAUCGAUCGGUAGCUGGUCUGAGAGGAUGGUCAGCCACACUGGGACUGAGACACGGCCCAGACUCCUACGGGAGGCAGCAGUUAGGAAAUUUUCCCAAUGGGCGCAAGCCUGAGGGAGUAACGCCGCGUGGAGGAUGACGGCUUUCGGGUUGUAAACUCCUUUUCUGUGGGAAGAGUAGAAGACGGUACCGCAGGAAUAAGCCUCGGCUAACUACGCGCCAGCAGCCGC